This 510-nucleotide ribosomal RNA is filed under the name uncultured bacterium. Its description in RNAcentral is "partial 16S ribosomal RNA". It matches the Rfam family "Bacterial small subunit ribosomal RNA", at positions 28 to 507 of the family's 1533-position model. The record is from RNAcentral.
GACGAACGCUGGCGGCGUGCUUAACACAUGCAAGUCGAACGAAGAGCGAUGGAAGCUUGCUUCUAUCAAUCUUAGUGGCGCACGGGUGAGUAACGCGUAAUCAACCUGCCCUUCAGAGGGGGACAACAGUUGGAAACGACUGCUAAUACCGCAUACGAUCCAAUCUCGGCAUCGGGACGGGAUGAAAGGUGGCCUCUAUUUAUAAGCUACCACUGAAGGAGGGGAUUGCGUCUGAUUAGCUAGUUGGAGGGGUAACGGCCCACCAAGGCGAUGAUCAGUAGCCGGUCUGAGAGGAUGAACGGCCACAUUGGGACUGAGACACGGCCCAGACUCCUACGGGAGGCAGCAGUGGGGAAUCUUCCGCAAUGGACGAAAGUCUGACGGAGCAACGCCGCGUGAGUGAUGACGGCCUUCGGGUUGUAAAGCUCUGUUAAUCGGGACGAAUGGUUCUUGUGCGAAUAGUGCGAGGAUUUGACGGUACCGGAAUAGAAAGCCACGGCUAACUACGUG